UACGGAGGGUGCGAGCGUUGUCCGGAAUCACUGGGCGUAAAGGGCGCGUAGGCGGCCUGAUAAGUAGGGGGUGAAAUCCUGCGGCUUAACCGCAGGGCUGCCUUCUAAACUGUCAGGCUCGAGCACAGUAGAGGCAGGUGGAAUUCCCGGUGUAGCGGUGGAAUGCGUAGAGAUCGGGAGGAACACCAGUGGCGAAGGCGGCGAUCUGGGAAGAUACUGACGCUGAGGUGCGAAAGCGUGGGGAGCAAACAGG
Molecule: ribosomal RNA, 253 nt
Filed under: uncultured bacterium
Lineage: Bacteria
Description: partial 16S ribosomal RNA
Rfam family: Bacterial small subunit ribosomal RNA
Source: RNAcentral